GGAUAGGGGUGAAAGGCCAAUCAAACCCGGAGAUAUCUCGUUCUCCCCGAAAUAGCUUUAGGGCUAGCGUCGCGCGUUCACCGCCGGAGGUAGAGCACCGGAUGGACGAGGGGGCUUCGCCGCCUACCGAAUCCAACCGAACUCCGAAUGCCGGCGGCCCAGAGCGCGGCAGUCAGAGCAUGUGGGCUAAGCUGUGUGCUCGAGAGGGAAACAGCCCGGACCGCCCGCUAAGGUCCCCAAGUUCCAGCCGAGUGGCAAAGGAUGUGCGUCCGCCCAGACAACCAGGAUGUUGGCUUAGAAGCAGCCAUCCAUUCAAAGAGUGCGUAACAGCUCACUGGUCGAGUGGACAUGCGCCGACAAUACACGGGGCUAAGCUGGACACCGAAGCGGCGGGAUUUUGAUUUACAGAAUCGGUAGGGGAGCUUCCCAUGGGCGGAGAAGCCGGAGGGCGACCGACGGUGGAGCGCAUGGGAGUGAGAAUGCUGGCAUGAGUAGCGAGAGACGAGAGAGUAACUCGUCCGCCGUGAACCCGAGGUUUCCUGGGCAAGGCUAAUCCUCCCAGGGUCAGUCGGGGGCUAAGGCGAGGCCGGUAGGCGUAGCCGACGCGCAGCAGGCAGACAUUCCUGCACCGCGCACGCGGCGCUACGACCGACGGGGCGACGGAUGGGGGUGGCUCGGCGGGGUUCUGGACGUCCCCGUGAUGGAGCGCGGCCCGCGGACCAGGGAAAUCCGGUCCGCACGAGGGCGAGGCUCCGGACGAAGCACUUAAGCGAAGCGAGUGAGCCCGAGGUCCCUAGAAAAACCCCUAGGCAGGCGCGUGCGCGCCCGUACCGCAAACCGACACAGGUGGGUGGGUAGAACAUACCGAGGCGAUCGGGUCAACCAUGGUCAAGGAACUCGGCACAAUGGCCCCGUAACUUCGGGAGAAGGGGUGCCCGCGCGUACGUGAACCGGCUUGCCCGGGGAGCGGAGGCGGGCCGCAGUGGAGAGGCCCAAGCGACUGUUUACCAAAAACACAGGACUCUGCAGAAGCCGCAAGGCGACGUAUAGGGUCUGACGCCUGCCCGGUGCCGGAAGGUCACGCGGAGGAGUUAGCGCAUCGCGCGAAGCCCCGAAGCCAAGCCCCGGUAAACGGCGGCCGUAACUAUAACGGUCCUAAGGUAGCGAAAUUCCUUGUCGGGUAAGUUCCGACCUGCACGAAAGGCGCAACGACUUGGGCGCUGUCUCGACCAUGGACCCGGUGAAAUUGCACUGGUCGUGAAGAUGCGACUUACCCGCGGAAGGACGGAAAGACCCCGUGAACCUUCACUGCAGCUUGGCAUUGGCCGCUGGUCCCGCGUGUAGAGGAUAGGCAGGAGGCACAGAUCCGGAGGCGCCAGCCCCCGGGGAGCCGCCCUUGGAAUACUGCCCUCGCGCGACCGGCGUCCUAACCCGAGGCCGUCAACCGGCUCGGGGACCGUGCCAGGCGGGCAGUUUGACUGGGGCGGUCGCCUCCUAAAGGGUAACGGAGGCGCGCGAAGGUCCGCUCGGGACGGUCGGCAACCGUCCUUUUGAAUGCAAGAGUACAAGCGGGCUUGACUGCGAGGCCCACAAGCCGAGCAGGUGCGAAAGCAGGCUCUAGUGAUCCGGCGGCCCCGAGUGGGUGGGCCGUCGCUCAACGGAUAAAAGGUACUCCGGGGAUAACAGGCUGAUCUUGCCCAAGAGUCCACAUCGACGGCAAGGUUUGGCACCUCGAUGUCGGCUCAUCGCAUCCUGGGGCUGUAGCAGGUCCCAAGGGUUGGGCUGUUCGCCCAUUAAAGCGGUACGCGAGCUGGGUUCAGAACGU
Molecule: ribosomal RNA, 1825 nt
Filed under: human gut metagenome
Description: bacterial LSU rRNA
Rfam family: Bacterial large subunit ribosomal RNA
Source: RNAcentral